Long non-coding RNA from Asterias rubens (European starfish), 1070 nucleotides. RefSeq lists it as uncharacterized. The record is from RefSeq and is a predicted model, not a curated record. The transcript is spliced from 3 exons. Lineage: Eukaryota; Metazoa; Echinodermata; Asteroidea; Forcipulatida; Asteriidae.
UGCCUGGCUACUUAGAGGACGACAUCCCAGAGGGUGCCUGGCUACUUAGAGGACAACAUCACAGAGGGUGCCUGGCUUCCAAAGAAGUGUUCCUGUCUCCAUGGUGGAUGAGAAGAUGUGUUUCUGUCUAAUUGAUGUAGCUGUGACCUUUGUACUAUCUGCCAAUGUCAAAGGGCCAAGAUGACAUCAGAUGGGUGCCUGGCUACACAGAGAUGUGUUCCUGUCUCCAAUAUGGAUGAGAGGAUGUGUUGCAGGCUAACGGAUGAAACAACAGAAUAGCUGGAUGAACACUGUCGAACAACCUUGAGUUGGUCACGCCAAGAUGCUGAGCCACCUUAUGCAUGUACCAAUACAACUCUUGCUUCACCACCGCUUUGGUAAAGGACUGUUUCUUCUUGACGACUGCCCUCAUCUAAGGCUGUAUCGAAAUUGGUGUCUACAGCUUCGACUGUUACUAAGGAUCGACGUACUAAUGAUCCCAUGAGUUGACUUUCCAAGAGCAUGUGAACAACAAUGAACAAUUAUUUUGAAAUUGUCAUUGCGGAAAAUGACAACAAGGUGUCAUGACAACAAAUGGAAACAUUGUACAACAGAAUGGACCCCAAGAGCACAAACGAGACGAAGAGGCAGUAACUCAGAAAAUUUGGAAGGGUCACAUGGAUGAGACAAGCAUAAGAACAGUCAAGGUGGAAUAGUGAUGAAGUGGCCUUCCUUCUGCAGUGGAGCGACAUAGGCUAGACAUAUGGAUCUUUUGGUAUAUAAAGUAACGCACACAAUUCUUGUCGACAUACUUGUAAUGAGGUACUUCAUUACAAGUAUGUCGACAGAAUACAUGUUAACUUGUUACAAGGUACUUCCUUAAUACAAGUUCAUGUAUUCACAAACAAUAAUUGCAUGUUUGUAAUGAGGUACUUCAUUACACUCGUGCAAUUAAAACAUGCUUGCAAUGAAGUACCUCAUUGCAAGUAUGUAAAAGUUUCAUGCGCGUAAUGAAGUACCGCAUUACAAACAUGAAACAAGUAACGUUAAUUUGUAAUGCAAUGUGCUCAUUACAAAGUACGAACCAACAU